UCCCGUCUUGACUAUAUAUAUAAACCCACAGUAACCUGCAGCUCAAAAUAAGACUGAAAAAAAUACAUUCCACUCAAAGUAGAAAAAAAUGGCAGGAACAAGCCAGGCCUUUAUGUGCUUUGGGCUCUUGAUGCUGAUUGCGUUGUCAUCAGGUACAAAUUGUCACAGAUCUUUUGGUAACGAAGAACCAAAUAAUUUACAGUUCGAUUCAUUUUUACUGGCGCAGAAGAGAUCGCCAUGUCGGACGCGAAGACCUGCAUGCCGGCGGUUGGCCUUGGCUGCUUCAAGAGCGACCACUGCAGGAAGCCAUGCUUAAAUGAUGAUCCUGACAACAACAGCUGGAGAUGUUUACACAUUUUCUGCCUCUGCUGUAGGUCGUAAGGGCUGUGGGAGAGGAGGUCCGAGAUGCAUGCAUAUGAAAAAAAAAACAAAGCGUGCGUGGCAAUAAGACUGGUAGCUAGGACUAGGAGAUAGCUAUCUUGGUAUCAUGAUUGAGAAAUAAUAAGCUAUAUUAUAUGUGUUAUUAUCCCCCCAAAUACUGGAUCAACUAUUUUUUGACAGAAAAAUGUGCCAACAAGAAUACUGAACUUAAUCAUCAAGUUCCUGGCAUCAAGACAUGGGAAACAAAUUUGUAACAACAAAAUUGAAGUCCAAAUAAAGAAAAGACAAUUUUGGGCUAACACUCUACCAAGACCGGCCUAGCUGGCCUGCUAAACCAGCUAGGUCGGUUUUAC
Molecule: long non-coding RNA, 734 nt
Filed under: Sorghum bicolor (sorghum)
Lineage: Eukaryota; Viridiplantae; Streptophyta; Magnoliopsida; Poales; Poaceae
Description: long non-coding RNA (SBIC_LNC003809)
Source: RNAcentral